UGUCUUCGGGGCGGGGUGAAAUUCCCCACCGGUGGUAAUGCGGCGCAGUCCGACAAGCCCACGAGCCUUUUGGUUGAUGCUGGUGAGAUCCCAGAGCCGACGGUUAAAGUCCGGAUGAAAGAAGA
This 125-nucleotide non-coding RNA is filed under the name chicken gut metagenome. RNAcentral's name for it is "FMN riboswitch (RFN element)". It matches the Rfam family "FMN riboswitch aptamer (RFN element)". Rfam says of the family: The RFN element is a highly conserved domain that is found frequently in the 5'-untranslated regions of prokaryotic mRNAs that encode for flavin mononucleotide (FMN) biosynthesis and transport proteins. The record is from RNAcentral.